CUACCGGGGUAUCUAAUCCUAUUUGCUCCCCACGCUUUCGUGCCUCAGCGUCAGUAGUGGACCAGUAAGUCGCUUUCGCCACUGGUGUUCCUUCUAAUAUCUACGCAUUUAACCGCUACACUAGAAAUUCCACUUACCUCUUCCAUACUCAAGCUCUACAGUUUCAAUGGCGAACCGAAGUUAAGCUUCGGACUUAGACCACCGACUUAUAAAGCCGCCUACGCACCCUUUACACCCAAUAAAUCCGGAUAACGCUCGCUCCCUACGUAUUACCGCGGCUGCUGGCAC
This 288-nucleotide ribosomal RNA is filed under the name uncultured bacterium. RNAcentral describes it as "partial 16S ribosomal RNA". The record is from RNAcentral.